CCCUUAGAUGUUCUGGGCCGCACGCGCGCUACACUGAUGCAUUCAACGAGUUUUUCCUGGUCCGAGAGGAAUGGGUAACCUUUUGAAAGUGCAUCGUGAUAGGGAUAGACUAUUGCAAUUAUUGGUCUUCAACGAGGAAUUCCUAGUAGACGUAGUUCAUCAGACUGCAUCGAUUACGUCCCUGCCCUUUGUACACACCGCCCGUCGCUCCUACCGAUCGAAGAGUUAGGUGAAUUGUUUUGAUCGAUAAGAUUUGACUAUGGUCAACUCUCGUUGUGAAAUUCUGUGAAUCUGACUGUUUAGAGGAAGGAAAAGUCGUAACA
Molecule: ribosomal RNA, 323 nt
Filed under: uncultured eukaryote
Lineage: Eukaryota
Description: partial 18S ribosomal RNA
Rfam family: Eukaryotic small subunit ribosomal RNA
Source: RNAcentral